UGGGGAAUUUUGCGCAAUGGGCGAAAGCCUGACGCAGCAACGCCGCGUGCGGGAUGAAGGCCUUCGGGUUGUAAACCGCUUUCAGCAGGGAUGAAACUGACAGUACCUGCAGAAGAAGCCCCGGCUAACUACGUGCCAGCAGCCGCGGUAAUACGUAGGGGGCAAGCGUUAUCCGGAUUCAUUGGGCGUAAAGAGCGCGUAGGCGGAUUGUUAAGCGCGAUGUGAAAACUGGGGGCUCAACCCGCAGCCUGCAUCGUGAACUGGCAGUCUUGAGUCUGGUAGAGGAGUGUGGAAUUCCCAGUGUAGCGGUGAAAUGCGCAGAUAUUGGGAGGAACACCAGUGGCGAAGGCGGCACUCUGGGCCACGACUGACGCUGAGGCGCGAAAGCUAGGGGAGCAAA
This 400-nucleotide ribosomal RNA is filed under the name uncultured bacterium. RNAcentral's name for it is "bacterial SSU rRNA". It matches the Rfam family "Bacterial small subunit ribosomal RNA", at positions 355 to 772 of the family's 1533-position model. The record is from RNAcentral.